UUCUCCUCCCUCUCCGUGCGUUUGUUCCACCAAUUUGAUCGACAUCUCUACCUUUUGCUUGAUGAUCUUUACUUGAACAACUUGAAGAGGGUUCUGCGCUCAGACACACCUGACGUUUAAGAAUUUUCUUUUAAGACCAUGGUUUUGUGGUUUUAGAUGUUUUGCUUCUCUGGAAAGUUGGUCUAAGGAAUGCACAAACCCUUUUGUGCAACAAAUCUUUUUCUUUGUUGUCUACAGUGAUGAAAGCUUGAGACUCGCCAAUCAUAAUAAUGAAAACAUGUUUCUUACUUGAGAGUUGAGACACUCCUUUAUCGAUUCUUCUUGGGUUGUCUCUUGGGUUAAUUAUAUUACCUACCUCUCUUUACAGCAAAUUUACCAUGGUUCGAAUUCAG
This 392-nucleotide small RNA is filed under the name Arabidopsis thaliana (thale cress). RNAcentral's name for it is "putative long intergenic non-coding RNA". Lineage: Eukaryota; Viridiplantae; Streptophyta; Magnoliopsida; Brassicales; Brassicaceae. The record is from RNAcentral.